AGAGUUUGAUCAUGGCUCAGGAUGAACGCUAGCUACAGGCUUAACACAUGCAAGUCGAGGGGCAGCAUGGACCCAGCUUUGCUGGGUUUGAUGGCGACCGGCGCACGGGUGAGUAACGCGUAUCCAACCUGCCAUUUACUCCGGGAUAGUCUCCUGAAAGGGAGUUUAAUACCGGAUGUGUUUGUCUUUCCGCAUGGGAGCGACAAAUAAAGAUUAAUUGGUAAAGGAUGGGGAUGCGUCCCAUUAGCUUGUUGGCGGGGUAACGGCCACCAAGGCGACGAUGGGUAGGGGUUCUGAGAGGAAGGUCCCCCACAUUGGAACUGAGACACGGUCCAAACUCCGUACGGAGGCA
RNAcentral lists this ribosomal RNA (352 nucleotides) under uncultured bacterium. RNAcentral's name for it is "bacterial SSU rRNA". It matches the Rfam family "Bacterial small subunit ribosomal RNA", at positions 8 to 350 of the family's 1533-position model. The record is from RNAcentral.